GGGCCCGUGGCCAAGCUGGAUAAGGCACCGGCCCUCUAAGCCGGUAAUCGAGGGUUCAAAUCCCUCCGGGCCCGCCA
Molecule: transfer RNA, 77 nt
Filed under: Promethearchaeota archaeon
Lineage: Archaea; Promethearchaeati; Promethearchaeota
Also listed under: 3 other names
Description: tRNA-Arg
Rfam family: tRNA
About the family: Transfer RNA (tRNA) molecules are approximately 80 nucleotides in length. Their secondary structure includes four short double-helical elements and three loops (D, anti-codon, and T loops).
Source: RNAcentral